Molecule: ribosomal RNA, 253 nt
Filed under: uncultured bacterium
Lineage: Bacteria
Description: partial 16S ribosomal RNA
Rfam family: Bacterial small subunit ribosomal RNA
Source: RNAcentral
UACGUAGGGGGCAAGCGUUGUCCGGAAUCAUUGGGCGUAAAGAGCGUGUAGGCGGCCAGAUAAGUCCGCUGUGAAAUCUCGAGGCUCAACUUCGAGCUGUCGGUGGAAACUGUCUGGCUAGAGUCCGGAAGAGGAGAAUGGAAUUCCUGGUGUAGCGGUGAAAUGCGUAGAGAUCCGGAGGAACACCAGAGGCGAAGGCGGCCUGCUGGGCUGCACCUGACGCUGAACCGCGAAAGCCAGGGGAGCGAACGGG